AGUGAACGCUGGCGGUAGGCCUAACGCAUGCAAGUCGAACGGCAGCACAGUAAGAGCUUGCUCUUACGGGUGGCGAGUGGCGGACGGGUGAGGAAUACAUCGGAAUCUACUUUUUCGUGGGGGAUAACGUAGGGAAACUUACGCUAAUACCGCAUACGACCUACGGGUGAAAGCAGGGGAUCUUCGGACCUUGCGCGAUUGAAUGAGCCGAUGUCGGAUUAGCUAGUUGGCGGGGUAAAGGCCCACCAAGGCGACGAUCCGUAGCUGGUCUGAGAGGAUGAUCAGCCACACUGGAACUGAGACGCGGUCCAGACUCCUACGGGAGGCAGCAGUGGGGAAUAUUGGACAAUGGGCGCAAGCCUGAUCCAGCCAUACCGCGUGGGUGAAGAAGGCCUUCGGGUUGUAAAGCCCUUUUGUUGGGAAAGAAAAGCAGCAGGUUAAUACCCCGCUGUUCUGACGGUACCCAAAGAAUAAGCACCGGCUAACUUCGUG
RNAcentral lists this ribosomal RNA (492 nucleotides) under uncultured bacterium. RNAcentral's name for it is "partial 16S ribosomal RNA". It matches the Rfam family "Bacterial small subunit ribosomal RNA", at positions 29 to 507 of the family's 1533-position model. The record is from RNAcentral.